CGCCGACAGCGAGCAGCCGGGCGGGCCGCGCAACGGCCCGGACUUCCAGAACCUGCAUCGCAACAAGCGCGCGAUGACGCUCAACCUGAAAGACCCGAAAGGUCUUGAGGUCUUCAAGCGUCUCGCCGCCAAGGCCGACGUCAUCGUCGAGAACUUCCGUCCCGACGUGAAGGACAAGCUCGGCAUCGAUUACGCAAGCAUGCGCGCAAUCAAUCCGCGCCUCGUCUAUGCCAGCAUCUCCGGCUUCGGACAGGACGGGCCGUAUGCCAAG
This 271-nucleotide unclassified non-coding RNA is filed under the name Hevea brasiliensis (rubber tree). The record is from RNAcentral. Lineage: Eukaryota; Viridiplantae; Streptophyta; Magnoliopsida; Malpighiales; Euphorbiaceae.